This 969-nucleotide ribosomal RNA is filed under the name Blepharipa sp. VT05. RNAcentral's name for it is "partial 28S ribosomal RNA". It matches the Rfam family "Eukaryotic large subunit ribosomal RNA", at positions 400 to 1225 of the family's 3401-position model. Lineage: Eukaryota; Metazoa; Arthropoda; Insecta; Diptera; Tachinidae. The record is from RNAcentral.
UGAAACUGCUUAGAGGUUAAGCCCGAUGAACCUGAAUAUCCAAUAUAGAAAAUUCAUCAUUAUGACUUUAAUAUAUUAUAAUAAUAGUGUGCAUUUUUUCUAUAGAGGACAUUGUAAUCUAUUAAUAUAAAGAAUUUAUUAUAAGAUCAGCGUAAGUUUAUACGAAUUAUUUUGCUUGCAAUUUAACAUAGAAUAAAUGCUUUUGAUUUGAUAAAGUGUUGAUAGAUUUAAUAUAUAGUGCUUGAAUAAUAUUCUAUAAUAGCAUAUUAAUUAAUAAUUUUUAUGUUUAUUUUAUGCACUUAUAUGAUUAACAAUGCGAAAGAUUCAGGAUACCUUCGGGACCCGUCUUGAAACACGGACCAAGGAGUCUAACAUAUUUGCAAGUUAUUGGGUGAAACCUAAUAGCGAAAUUAACAUAACUAAUUGGGAUUAGUUUUUAGCCAGUCUAUUAAUUCAAUCCCGGGGCGUUCUAUUGUUAUGUAUAAUAAUAUUUAUAUUAUUUAUACCUCUAACUAGAGCGUACCUUGAGCAUAUAUGCUGUGACCCGAAAGAUGGUGAACUAUACUUGAUCAGGUUGAAGUCAGGGGAAACCCUGAUGGAAGACCGAAACAGUUCUGACGUGCAAAUCGAUUGUCAGAAUUGAGUAUAGGGGCGAAAGACCAAUCGAACCAUCUAGUAGCUGGUUCCCUCUGAAGUUUCCCUCAGGAKWRSYGGKGMAUUUAAAAAUUAUGUAAAAUAAUYWWRUCWGGUAAAGCGAAUGAUUARAGGCCUUAGGGUCGAAASGAUCUUAACCUAUUCUCAAACUUUAAAUGGGUAAGAACCUCACCUUUCUUGGUAUGAAGGUAGUGGUUGUGAUAUAAUGUGCCCAGUGGGCCACUUUUGGUAAGCAGAACUGGCGCUGUGGGAUGAACCAAACGARGUGUUACGGUGCCCAAAUUAACAACUCAUGCAGAUACCAUGAAAGGCGUU